CCUACGGGUGGCAGCAGUGAGGAAUAUUGGUCAAUGGACGAGAGUCUGAACCAGCCAAGUAGCGUGAAGGAUGACUGCCCUAUGGGUUGUAAACUUCUUUUAUAUGGGAAUAAACUGUUCCACGUGUGGGCUUUUGUAUGUCCCAUAUGAAUAAGAAUCGGCUAACUCCUUGCCAGCAGCCGCGGUAAUACGGAGGAUCCGAGCGUUAUCCGGAGUUAUUGGGUUUAAAGGGAGCGUAGGUGGAUUGUUAAGUCAGUUGUGAAAGUUUGCGGCUCAACCGUAAAAUUGCAGUUGAAACUGGAAGUCUUGAGUACAGGAGAGGUGGGCGGAAUUCGUGGUGUAGCGGUGAAAUGCUUAGAUAUUGCGCAGAACUCCGAUUGCGAAGGCAGCAUACCGGCGGCGAUCUGACGCUGAGGCACGAAAGCGUGGGUAUCGAACAGGAUUAGAUACCCGAGUAGUC
This 460-nucleotide ribosomal RNA is filed under the name uncultured bacterium. RNAcentral's name for it is "partial 16S ribosomal RNA". It matches the Rfam family "Bacterial small subunit ribosomal RNA", at positions 338 to 795 of the family's 1533-position model. The record is from RNAcentral.